UAUUUACUACCAGUAUAAAAAGUAGUCUUCUACCAAGACCCGAAUGUUUUGAAAGUGGUCUUUUACCAAGACCUGACUGUUUUGAAAGUAGUCUUCUACCAAGACCUGAUUGUUUUGAAAGUAGUCUUCUACCAAGACCUAACUAUUUUGAAAGUAGUCUUCUACCAAGACCUGAAUGUUUUGAAAGUACGCAUCACUUGUAAAUGUGACGGUUUUUACCCUGUUUAACUAUUAUUAUAAAACUAUAAAAGUAAUAAUAUAAUAACUUAUGUUGUAUCCUUUGGUACAAAGAUAUUCUAGUAUAAUCUACCUCGUCGGUUAUGUGAACGUGACACAAAAUAAAGGUAACAAUAUAAUUAUAUAGGUAUUAGUCUACCCCGUCGUUAUGUGAAUGUAUCACAAAAUAAAGGUAAUGAGCUAAUAACCUAAGUAUUAUCCUUUGGUACUAAAAUAAACACGGCGUGGAAACUCGUCGUAAAUGGAUCCAUCGUAGACAUCCGUAGAUGUGCAUUUACCUCUGUUGCUAACAGCCGGGUGUAGGAAUAGUUAGUCCCUUAAGCAUACCUGUAAUGGUAUCAACCGUAGACAUCCGUAGAUGUGCAUUUACCUCUGUAGCUAACAGAGGUAUUAGGAGUGGUUAACCCCUUAUAGUAUCUAUGUAAAAGUAUCCCUGUAAGAGUAUCCAUAUAAGUGUAUCCAUGUAAGAGGAAUCUCUGUAAGAGUAUCCCUUCAUAUAGCAUGUAGUAUAGACUCAUGAAUGAACUGGCUCUGGUGUAAUUCCUUUUAAUAGGAAUAAUUUUUUGUUUCCCCUAAACUAUUCCAAUAAUAGUUUACUUGAAUGUAAUUGAUGAGUGUCCAGGUAGGUUUAUACACCCUUGCUACCCAAGAGUGUCGGAACUGAACUAACUGAUGGAACUUUUAUGUCUAUAUAGGUAUACCUGAUCUAUAUAACUAAUAUUUGGACAACAUUCGGACGAAUAACUGAUACCCUAAGGCCACAUCCCAACGAGAACAGAAAAGAAAUAAAGCGAGCUAGCCGUUCUAAGUCUUUUAAACCUUUCUUAUUUAACUAUAGAUAUAUAGGCAAGCAUUUAACAAUAUAAAAGUAUAAAAGAAGUUUUGAAAAGUUUAAUAAAUAAGAAUUUAUGACUUGAUGUCAGUUUAUAAAACGAUUCGAAAACUGUUGACAAGACAGAUUAAGUGUGAGAAAACCUUUGUUUGAAGCACAACUAUAACAUAUUCAAAAAGGAAACAUACAGUUUGGAAGACAGUUUCUAAAAGUGUUUUAACAUGUAAAAACGUUUGAGAAAGCUAUUUGAAGUACUCUGUUUGGUGAAACGGCUAAAGUGUAGUAAGUCCAAUUGUAUGUUAGUUAUAAAUCACAUGUGAUUGAUUACAUAACCAAAAAGUAUAACAAAGAUUUAUGUCUUUUAUACGGGGAUAACGGUGUGUUUACUUGUAUUCCCCCCUUAAAAGUGUAUAAAAAGCAUUUAUAAAGCAUUUGAAAGUGUAGAUUAUAGGGGUAUGAACUCACUUGAUUGAAGUGGUUGAUUUGAAGUAGUCGAGAGAAGAAUCGAACAGAACUUCGACAGGAAGAGUUGAAAAAGCGGGAAAAUCUCGGGAUUCUCGGGACUCUCGAGAGUGUAGAACUUCCCUCGGGACUUGAGUGUGAAAACCGGGGCUUCGAGAUGGUUUAUCGAGGUAAUUUCACAAAGUAACGGCACUUAGAUGGAAAGAGAUGAGCACCUAACUCGGAAAACCCUUGAAAUCUAUUUAUAGGCCAACUUUUGGGGUCCCACGUCGUGGACAUAAGGUUGCCACGUCGUCGGGUCGAUCCUUAUCCUCUUCCAUGGACGAGACGUCUUCUGCCAAGCCUGAAAACCCCAUCAGUCACUGUGCCACAUCGUGGCAAGCCAGACAGCCUCGAAUUUUGUGUCUCGAAAUUGUAAAAUCUGUAACUUCUGCGUACGAGCUCUGUUUUUGACGUUCUUUAUAUGCACGCGUAGGUGAGAUUAUUCUCUACAACUUUCAUUUAGACUCCAUCGGAAAAUUUUGACUUUAUUUUUAUUUAUUUAUUUUUAACGGGCCGGGACACGAAAAGUCCGUUAGAAAUCGAUAACUUCUUCAUCCGAUGUCCGUUUUCGUCAGACUUUUCGCCGUUGCGCUACUAUUGUUGAGACCUUCGAUUCUCAUUUAGGUUGUUUCGUCCAAAAGCCUCUCGGUCUCUAUUUCAAGUUUUUAGUUGUCUACUGCUAUAUCCGGAUCUUGGAAAAAUCAUAACUUCCUCUUACGAAGUCAGAUUUGGACGUUCUUUUUAUGUAUGUUCACGGUUUUGGGAUAUCUACAACAUUCAUUUAGAUACUUAUGGUGUGACAACCCAAGUUUCUUCCGUUACAUUACCCUGUUACCGUUAACGGAAUAUUCCAUUUUAUAAAAGUUCUGUUAAUUGAAGGUCGCCAAAUAAAUAAAUGAUUAUAUAUUUAUAUUUUUAUGUCGUUAAAGUCGUAAUAAAAUAAAUGAAAUGAUUUCUUUACAUUUCCAUGUCAAUUUGGGAAAAAGUUAAAUUUUAUUACGACCACUAAAUCGGGUGCGACCAAAAGCCCCGUAUAACGGCAGUAUCGGGUAGAUUCCCACUGAGCUUUAACUCCAACCGAUAUAUAAGGGCGAAUAGACUUCAUUCCACCCCUUUUCACUCUCUCUCUCUCUCUCUACUCUCUCUCUAGGCUCGUUUUCGACUCCAAAACCGCGAUUUCCGACUCCUAAAUGUAAGACCGUCAACCCUAACUUCUUCUAUGCGUGCAUUAUUGUCUUUUUAGCCUAAAAAUCACAUGAUUGAGACAUGAAAAAUGAGUUUAUGGCCUAAGAGCCUCCUUAGGCCGUAAACACCCAAAAAGUGGCCAAAAUGACCCAAACUUGUCUCGUUGAGCUUAGGAACCAAUUAAGGAAUUUGUCUAGGAGUGUUUAAUCAUCAAAACACAAGAUUUUAGGGCAUAAAAUAGAGUUUACAGCCCAAGCACAUGCUUAGGCCGUAAACACCUCUUAAACUUGUAAAAAUGCCCCAAAAACACUCCCAAACCACCCAUAGGCUUAAUACAUAAAUUAGGGGCUUGCUAUUUAGGGUUUGGAACAUUUAAACACAAGGAAAUAUGAGGUAACUUGGAGUUUACGGCCCAAGCAAGUUCCUAGGUUGUAAACACCCCUAAACUAUGUCAAAUGAUGGUUUGUGUCCCUCCAAAUGGCCGCAUACUUCAUUUUAAAUUAUUAGGAGUGUAAUAGGGACCUUAAACUUCAAUAAAAGCUAGGUAUAGGAGUUCACGGCCGUGAACUCCCUUAGGGAGUGGUUCAUGGGCCGUAAACUCCCUUAUAGUCCCUUAAAACACUUUAAAUCCCUUCAUACAUAUUAGAUUUGGACCUAGAAUAAUUCCACAAGCAAGAUAAAGCCUUAAAACACCCUAGAAACCUCUCACCAUGAGUUUACGGCCGUAAAAUCAUGGGGAGUUGUCCCUGGGCCGUAAACACCAUAAGGUGAGUUUACUCUUGGAGAGUAAACUCCAUUCCUAAGCCAUUUACAUCCUUAAAUGUUAUCCGGGACACCCCAAACACUUAAUCAAAGUGUUUUACGCUCUAUAGGGUGCGUAUACUUGUUUGAUUAGUAUUAAAUGUACUAAUUAUAUGUGAACAUAUGUUAUCAUAUGUUAAAUAGGUCAUUAAGAGUGUCCAAGUCUUUACUUGACACCGAGCACCCAACCGGCACCUUCGUCGGGAUCCACUUACACCAAGUGAGUUCAUACCCCUGAAUGAACCUUUUAAAUGUUUUUACAUGUUUUAUAGGGGGGAAUACAAGUUAAACAUGCCAGUUAUCAUAUCAAUCACAUGUGAUUGAUAACCCGCAUGUACAAAGAUUUACCACAAUGUAAACUGUUUUACCAAGUAGGACACUAUAAAUGGUUUUCUAAAAAGGUCUUCACUUGUUCAAACCCUUACUUAUACUGCUUUAUCAAAGUUCAUUUUAAACUGAUUUAUGAAAGGUUUCCAAGGAAAUCCUUAAGGUUUUCAAACUUAUUUUAACAAAGAACACCAAAUUAUGAUUUUCUUAAGUGUAAAGGUUUUUCAAGGUUUUCAACAAAGUUCUCUUUCAUAUCGUAUACUCUUACUUAUUAGACACGACUGUUUCAUUUUCACUUAGUUUGAACUCCUACUUGAUAAUGUCUCUACUUCAUGAUACAAUUAUAUUUGGUAACGCAUAUAUAUCACGGUCCAGUUAUUGACACACUGUUCAUUUAUACAUCUCGAUUCGGUUAUUCACACACUGUACGUUUAUACAUACGAUUUGGUUAUUCCACACUGUACGUUUCCACUUGUUACACACUCAGUCAUAGUUAGAUGUAUGUUUGUGCUUGUAUAGGUGCAUAUAAACGAUGAUUGAAGGACUUAGGAAGGCUUGUUCGCCCUAUUUCGUUUUCUUCAUUGAGAUGUGGUCUGGUGGGAUCGGAUGGCCGCUCGAAGGUCGUUUGAUUCAUUAUUUAUAUAUUAUGUAUAUGAGCAUAGACAUAUAGGUUUACUCUAGUCAGUCCAGUUAUGAGUCUCUACCUCUAAUUCAUCACUUACAUUUGAAACCCACUACCUACUAUUAGGGAUGCAUCUUCGGGACACGACCUUCUCCGUCGUCUAGUUGGUAACCAGAGUCUCCUGUAGGGAGAGCGGACAUUGUGUGUAUAGAUCUAUACGGGAUUGACACCCCCGCACCCUGACUGCUAGCUACAGUCCACGGCCCACCAAGCGAAGGGGUGACAAAUGUCAUAUUUUAUAGACGCUUGUAGGGCGUCAGAUACUCCAGUGUCGGUUAGUAUGGUUACGAGUAUCCCAGGUUACCUUAUAAUUCAUGGCCUUAAGGUAACGGUAUUUUACCAGCAAUUUACACUGUAUGCUGGGAAACCCAUUCUCAGAGUCACACUGUUUUAGACCUUGCUAGCCGUAUCUUUCAUUUGAUACUGUCUGCGGUCUGUAUUCUCUGUUUUAGACCUUGCUAGUCGUAUCUUUCAAUUGAUACUGUCUGCGGUCUGUAUUCUCUGUUUUAGACCUUGGUAGACGUAUCAUUCAGUCGAUACUGUCUGGGGUCUGUGUUCACUGUUUUAUACCUUACUAGAUGUACCUUUUAUUUGGUACCGUCUGGGGUCUGUGUCUCUUUCUGUUAGACUGAGCCAGGCUUGUCGUUCAUUCGAUACUCUCCUGGAGUCUAUGAUUCCUUUGCCUUAGUCAGCAGUCCUCACUGCUGAGGCAUAUGUUUUUCCCUGAAUUCUCCUACUUUCUUAAUAAUCAAAUUCUGUAUUUUGAUAAUGAUAGUGAUUAAGGGAAAACUACGUUUUUACCACAUAACUCCGUCCAGUCUUGGUAGAAGACUGCUUUUAUUAAAGAAAAUAUAGGAUUUUCUGGAAAAGACACUAAUGUAAUAGAAUACACUGAAACUACCACUUUUAAUAAAGUUAUUUGAAUAAAAUGCCACUAAAUGCUUAUGAACUCACCAGCAUUUGUAAAAAUGCUGAUACUCGCUUUCAAAUAACUUGUAUUCUCAGGUCAGCAUUAGACAGGUACAUUCUCGGAGCUAUUGAUGAAGAUAGCUUAGUACCAAACUGUACUUAUAUUAUUACCUGUAUUACUUUGUUGUACUGUUAUGUAAACUAUGUAAAACUAAUACUAUUAAUGCAAUGUUUUGUUGUACUUUGAUUACUAUAAUGCAUGUGUUGUGAUACUUGACAUGACGACAUCCACCCCAGGACGUUUCCGCCGUUCCGGUUUUGGGGUGUGACGGCUUGGUAUCAGAGCAUUGUUUAUAGUGAGCUAAGUAUAUCAAUUCAUAAAAUAUAUACAGCCUAUAAAUGCAAAGGGAUAAAACACUCUGACCAAGAAUUAUACUUUAAAAUAUAAUCAUAUUUUACCAAAGUAUAAGAACAUCCAAAACCUAAACACUCGAACACAAGUAUCNAAUAAAAGUCUUCGGAUGUUGAGCAUUACCGUCAAACCUGGGCAGUUAUGUAAUCGUAAGCUGGAAUAAAUGUAACCUGAUCAACUACAUUUAUUCGAGAUGCGAUGAACGUGUGCUUGGGAGUGAUAGUGGUGUUGCAAUAGGUCUGAAACUUACCAAUUAGGAUUGAUAGAGCCAAACAUAAAGUUUAAAAUACUAUAGGAGUAUUUUGGAAUACUAAAAGACUAACAAUAAUCCCAGAAUCAUAAUCAGAAGAUAAGAAUCAAACAAGAAUUAAAAUACCAUAGGGGUAUUUUAGGAUCCAUAACUAACCUUGUGUGAAUAACUAAAAAGAUCUUUAUUGAUAUACCUACAACUACAGAGGGUGUACUCCCAAGGUUAUAUAUAAUAAGGAUCCCAUAGGCUAAGAAUGUGUGGUUUCGCUCUACUUCCUUUUCCUCGUUGGGAUGUGGAUAUAGAGUAGUAUCACAUAUUCGAAGGCCUAUCGGAUCUAAGCUAUAUAUGAUUUGUAUACCCUGUGUAAUCGUAGCAGGACUCGAUAUGGAUCAUCCAGUGAAAUGUUAAUAAUCUCUUAGGAUUCUUUAGACAUUUCCAUUCUCGCACGAACCCUAUAGAAAACCCUAUCCACUUCAGUGCUUAACAGAAGAGUUGAUUCCGACCCCGAGCUAUUGAUGAAGAUAGCUUAGUACCAAACUGUACUUAUAUUAUUACCUGUAUUACUUUGUUGUACUGUUAUGUAAACUAUGUAAAACUAUUACUAUUAAUGCAAUGUUUUGUUGUACUUUGAUUACUAUAAUGCAUGUGUUGUGAUACUUGACAUGACGUCAUCCACCCCAGGACGUUUCCGCCGUUCCGGUUUUGGGGUGUGACAUAUGGCUAAAAACUAUUGUAUUGAAACUUCAUGUUUUUCGUUUAAUCGGUGUUGCCGGUUUUGUCGGGAAUUUUAGAAUGAUUAUAACUUCUUCGUUAUAACUCGGAUUUUUCUGUUCUUUAUAUGUAUGAAAACCUUGUUACGCGAAUGAACAAGAUAUUGAGCAAUUGUCCAUACGUAAAAUCAUAAUUAUUGAUACGGGCCUUUUCCACAUAACAGGGGAAUCUUUUGUUACAAUAGAAGCAGAAGUGAUGUGGAUUAUUCAAGAAUCGAAGUUGAUUUGCUUUAUAAAAAGAAGAUCUCAAUGAACUUCUAUGAAAUGAUUUCACGGGAUUCAGCCAAUUGUAUUGAUCGUGGAAUAUCAUUGAGAAAUAGGAAUCCAUGUUAUCAAAGGAUUUCCUGCGAUUAUUUCUAGUAUGGAAUUAGUCAAUCACCGGAGAAGCAAAUCUUAAUCGAACCUAUAUUUGCUCAAUGGAUACAAUCUGCUCAUGGUAAAACUUCAUAUGGGUUCGAUAUACUUUUAUCUUCAAUGAAUGGCCCGGCAUUCAAUGCGGGUCGAAGCAUAUGAUUGUCGGGUUGGUUAUCUUGCAUCUAUAGUAUUUUUGCCCUGGUGGAUUCCUCUCUCAUUUCAAAAAAGUAUGGAAUCGUAGGUUACUAAUUGGUGGAAUACUAGGCAAUCCAAACCUUUUUUGAAUGAUAUUGAAGAAAAGAGUAUUCUAGAAAAAUUCAUAGAAUUAGAGGAACUCCUCUUCUUAGAGGAAAUGAUUAAGGAAUACUCGGAGACACAUCUACAAAACCUUCAUAUAGGAAUUCACAAAGAAACAAUCCAAUUAAUCAAGAUAGACAACGAGGGUCGUAUUCAUACGAUUUUGCACUUCUCGACAAAUAUAAUAUGUUUCAUUAUUCUAAGUGGUUUUUCUCUUUUGGGUAAUAAAGAACUUGUUAUUCUUAACUCUUGGGUAACGGCAUUCUUCCUAAAUAAUACACACAUGUAACAAAUAAGAAAAUAUUAAGGAUACCAGCUAUAGACAUAGAAUUUGCCAAUUCUAACACAAAGGACUUAUUAGAUCGAAUGUACUUACGAAUAGAUCGAUUUUUGCGUAUCCAAACUACUAACAAUCCAAUUGAUUUCAUCAAUAUAAUGUGACCAAUUAUCCAACCAACAAAACUACUUGUUACAAAAAUAAUCUUGUUGUUGCAUUGAAACAUAAAAAUGUUGACUAAUCUCGCUAACAUUGAACUUGGUAAAAUGAAAUCAUUGAAUAAUUGAAAAAUGAGAUUAUUCAUGAAUACACAUUGAAUGUUGAGAUUACGCAUUGAAUUUUUGUUAGUAGAUCCAUAAUCAAAGAAGUGUUUGUGAGUAUUGCAGAAGAAAUGAAACAAAAGAUACGGUAGAGCUAGGACAAUUAUUCCUACCACUUGAUUUAACCCAAAUAAGAUUUUAGGAAAGUUAUAUUUUGACCUAAAUCUGACUGGUUUUACAUUACAUUGUCUCUAAAUAUCGGGUUGUCACAUCAUCCCCCCAUUAGAGAGAAUUUCGUCCCGAAAUUAGAGUUUAAGCAGAAUUGAUAAUCAUGCUACGGAUAGAAGUUUUAUUUGCUUCUCGUGUUCUUAAGUGAACUCAGUUCCUCGCUUGGCAUUCCAGCGAAUCUUUCACUAUCGGGAUACGGCUUUGCUUCUUUCGUUUGACUUUACUGGUGUGAUAACUCUUCUUGGAAGAAUGUAUGUUGAAUGUUUUUGUGGCCUGUGAAAAUAGUACACCUUGUACCAUACAAGUAGUGUCUCCAGAUCUUCAGAGCAAUUACCGCUGCUCCUGACUCAAGAUCCUGUGUUGUAUAGUUAACUUCCUGUGUCCUAAGCUGCCUUGAGGUAUAGGUAGUGACCUUUCCUCUUGCUUAAGAACACAACCAAUUCAUACUGAUUAUGACGUCAAAACCUUAUGGUCGAUUAGAUGUCGUGAAGAUCUAAAAGAAAGUAUGACUACUCAUGAAUUAGGGAAAAGGUUAGGUAUUUCUAAGUUUAUUCUCACGGAAGCACGAUCACUCGCAGUCUUGGGCAGUCUCCAUCCUGAAUUUCAUAGUAGAACUCAUACCUGGUUCAUCAAUCACAGUAUCAGGUAUACGAGUCGUAUAUAAUUAAGACUGAAAAGGUGGGUCUUUGAAUUGAACUUGAUGUACUGCAUGAGUGGUACUUUGGGGAGGUUUGCUGAGGUUUCUUUAGAAAGGAUAAGAAACAUGAGGUACUCUACGCAUGAGUACUUCGGAGUUCUAAAGUGAUAGUUUCGUUAGAAAGAUGAUUUUGGAGAAAGAGAUUUACGCAUGAAACUGGUAUUGUGAGGAUCAAAUAGACUCUGAUCGUAUGAUGAAAUCGAAAUCACUUGGAAAUAAGGAACUAGAUUUGAUCAUAACGGUGUUACAGACAAAACACAACAAUGCAACUUUUAACAGAGUUACCGUAAUAUAGGUUUACUAUAAGACUAAUGUUGCGAACUAGGUAUACUACGAAAGACAAGUAUACGCAGCAUGAGGGUCCCUUAACUGAUGGGUCCUUACAAAAGAUAAGAUUCGAGUUGCAUUAGUUUUAAACAGUUUACGAGUCUGUUACAACGAACGCCUUAGAUACUUUAACGAGGUUCCGGAGUAGUUUCUCCUACGGCAGUGAUCCUUAGUAUCUUCCCGUCAACGCGGGAGUUCUUUGUUAUUGGACAGUCCUUUUUGAGGUGUCCUAUCUCGCUGCAUUGGUGACAUGCUUGGUUCGUACUAGUAUUGGUGGUAAGUGUGAGGUGUUUAGUCAGGGUUAUGUGGACACGGGUGCCCUCCUCGUUCCUCCACUUUGAAAAUUGCCUUUUAAAGAGUCCGGCUUUACCACCACCUUUGUGUGUAAGGUUGGUACCGAUGCCAGGGACUUGAGAAAUGCGUCGUGUCGGUGCUGAAGGGGUAGGAGUUGCCACUUGCUGCUAUUGCAUGGCAAACCUUUGGAAUCGUUGGUGCUCCUUUCGAGCUCGGCGAUUUCGUUUCCUCCUCUUGGUUUUACAACUUUGCACGUCCGUGACUGUUGCCAUUUGUUGGCUUUUUGGAUCUAUACAACGAUCGAAAUUUUCAAUUCCUUUGCCAUUCGUGAUUGCGUUUUUAGCAUUGAGGUUUACAAGGACAGCCGUCACGGCAGCUGUUACCGCGGCUUGGAAUGUGGCGGCGUCGAUAUGAAGGAUAGGGGCUUCGUUGUUCGGCUGUCUACUUCUGGAUGACGACAUGAUUCUGUAACACGAAAGGAAAGGAGUUCGUGAGCUAUUAUGGUUGAACAUAGAUGUAUCUUGAUCGUUCAUGUAAAGGGUAGAAGUAUGUUCUCGAGAGUUUGACCUACAUCCCUAAGAUGCAGUCCUAGUACAGAGCAAAAGUAAGUUCAUAGAAUGGUCUCAAGACGUUUGACGUUCAAACCAGGGUAUUAUUUGUUGGUGGAUAACAUGAUCCAACCUUUGCAAGAUACCUGGAAAUGAUUCCACAGUUAAAUUACCAUAGUCCAAUAACUUGACUAGAUGGGGUUUCAGAUAGACCCCAAUGAAAGCAUGAUGAAAGCAUUUGAACAAAGAUUGACACGGAAGUUAGCCGACUGUCGAUAUCAUUGAUGUUUAAGAUGUAAUAGGUUUGGGGAAAUUGACCUUGUUGUAGGUCUUACAUCAUAUUCGGAGUAGAAAAGUCUUUGACAACAUAAAGACUUAACUAAAAGUACUUACAGUACAAAGUAGUCACAUAGAAAGUACUACACAGAACAUAGACAGGAACACGGUUCUUUAAAACAAGGAAAGAAGGAAGUAAGGUAUCUCCUGAUGGCGACGAUAACCCCUAUGGUGAACCCUUAGUUCGGCUAGUUGACGUUCCAUAUCAAGCAGGUCUCUUUUGUACACCCUCUGGCGUACUUGGAGCUCUAUGACUUCGGCUCGAGUUUCAGCUAGUGCUUGCAGUAGGGUCUCUUGGUUUCUCUCAGAUGUAUCACUUGUGUGAUCAAGGCGAUUGGUGCGAAUGGUAUGCAUUCUUGCAUUGGCNUCUUCGAUACGAUGGAGAGUCGUCUUGCCCUGAAUUUUGUUUCGGGCAACUCUACGGAUCAGGAUUGGUAGAACUCUGUCUGCUGAGCUCCCUUUGCUUGAGUGGUAGAAGCUUCGGUCUCCUUUAAACGGCAUAGUUUGAUCUUGCUCUUCGCUCCAUGUUUCCAAGCAUUCUACCCAAGGAGGCGUCGGGCCAUGAAAAGCGGGACGAGGGUUAGGAUUUGGAACAAAAGCCAUCGGGGGUAGGUUCUCCACUUCAGGUUCGGAGGCAGAAUCAUCAUGUAACACCCGAAAUCAGAAAGGUCAAGAAAGGAAAGGAAAAACCCUAAGUUAAAGAGGGUUGACUCGUCGAGUCCAGGGAGGAACUCGGCGAGUCGGAGCGGGAUCCGGGUGUAAAGUAAGUGACCGACUCGGCGAGUCGGCAAGUGGACUCGGCGAGUCUGGUCUGGGUUGGGAAACCCUAGUUUCGGGACUUGGUACCCUAUUUAAGCAUCUUAUUCUCUUCCCUAGGGCUCAUUUGCGGCCCCUUUAGUCCAGAACCAGAAACCCUAAGCCUCCAUUGUUGCUCAUUCAAGCUUUCUUGCCAUUUUGGGUGAUUUGAAGGAAGAAGGAAGAAGGCACCCAUUGGGGAUUCAAGGAUUGGCAGUAGAUCCAGAGUUUGUGAGGUCUUCCAGAACAUUUGAAGGUAAUGAGUCGCUACCUUCCCUCUUUUGCAUAUAGAUCAACCUUUAUCAUGGGAUUUGGGGCUUUUAGGGCAAGUUUACGAACCAUUUCAAGUUAGAAGCCCAGAUCUGAAGUUGCUACUUCAUAUCUAAGUGUAUCUUGGCCUAGAGAAUCAUAAAGCAUCAGUCUUUGGGUUGAUUGUUAAGCCCCUUUGUCUUAAACCCUAGUUUAUAGUGUUUUGAGCCUUGAUCUCCUUAGCUACAUGUAAAGUUUGCCACUUUAUUUAAGGAAUAGACUUUAGAAGAGUGGAUCUACAGUUUGGAGUCCAUGCAUGACUCAAAAGUCCUCUGCAUGUAUGUAGAUCUGAAUGGACUCGGCGAGUCCUUCGAGUGGACUCGGAGAGUAGCAUGAAGAUGAGGAGGAUCUCAACGAGUGGUAUGAACAACUCGUCGAGUCGGAUGAAGUUGGGCAUGAACUCGGCGAGUUGGAAGAACAACUUGACGAGUUGGUUGAAGAUUGCCUUGGGCUCAGCGAGUCUAUUCGUGGACUCGGCAGUCAGGUUGUGAAACCCCAAACCCUUCAAGUUGAGACUCGAAUCAGUGAGUCGGGUGGAGACUCAGCGAGUUGGACAGGACAGGACUCGGAAAUCGUUGGACUCGGCGAGUCAUGGACUGACUCGGCGAGUCGAGUCGCGAAUAGAAGGACCCUGAGCAUAUGAACUCGGCGAGUCAGUAGGUGGACUCGGCGAGUAGGGUUGACCUGGAAGGUUGACUUUGACCAGGAUUUUGACCUUGACCAGAGUUGACUUAGUUGACUUUUAGAGGACUGUCAGACUAAGUGUCAUAUUGAUAUUGGUAGCUCGGAGAGCUGGAGGAGCAGCGGCUCAGGGGAUUGUCGAUCAGCAGCCAGAGGAUUAUCGGCGGAGCUCAGCAGUUCAGGUGAGUUUCCUUCCAGUAGGAACGGGUCUAAGGCCACAAUGCCGGCCCGUUUAGCUAGCAGUAGUUUCCGGAUUUUGAUCCGAUGCAGUAGUUAGUAUGUUUGAUGCCUUCGUGGCUCAGACAGGAUUUAUGUGUUAUGUGUUCCGGGCUACGGCUCGAUGCAGUAUGCAGUAUAUGUGUGUUCAUGCUAGUUGAUAUGUUUAUGUUAUGUGAUGUUCAGUUAGUUCCGGACUUUGGUCCGAUGCAGGGGGCAAAGGCCCCAGUUAGUCCGGACUUCGGUCAAAUGCAGGGGACAAGGUCCCAGUCAGUUAGUCCGGACUUCGGUCUGAUGCAGGGGACAAGGUCCCAGUCAGUUUCCAGACUUCGGUCCGAUGCAGGGGCAAGGACCCAGUUAGUCCGGACUGCGGUUCGAUGCAGGGGGAAAGGUCCCAGUUAGUCCGGACUUUGGUCCGAUGCAGGGGACAAAGUCCCAGUCAGUUUCCGGACUUCGGUCCAAUGCAGGGGGCAAGGCCCCGUUAGUCUGGACCUCGGUCCGAUGCAGUGGGCAAGGCCCAGUAUGUGCUUUAUAUGUUAUUGUAUGGUAUGUGGUAGAUUGGGGGAGCUUACUAAGCUUCGUGCUUACGGUUUUCAGUUUUGGUUUCAGGUACUCAGUUUUCAAAAGAGGAGCUCGGGAAGAUUGCAGUGCACACACCAUAGUCAGUUAGCCUGGGAAUGCUUGACUCUGAUAACGAGAUUAUGUUUUGAAUUUAUACUCGAAAAAUUAUGUUAUGACUUAUGAUACAGUUUUAUAAAUAUGGUUUUAGUAAUGUUUUAAAAGAAAUUUUUAGUCGUGAUUUUUGGGUUGUUACACAUCAGCAAAGCUUUCAGCUUGGUGACCAUCCAUAAGGAUUUGGUGAUCAACCACUGGCUCCUCUCUGACCCAUCCAACAUUGCCGUAGUUAGGGUAGUACGGGUUGCCGUGGGGAUGGAAUCCAGCCAUGAUAUCUACGCGAGAAAAUGGAUAUUAAGAACUAACUAAAUAGACGAACUAACUAAGAUAAUUAUAAGAUGAUCUUUAUCAGUUGCUUCAAUACUUGUUUAGUGCAUACCAGUUAUAUGUAUUUAGGAUAGGAUAGACCUUCGAAUAAGUGACCCUAACCCUAAGCCCCCAACCGAACGAGGACAGGACAUAAAGCAAAGAUUCACAGAUUCUACGUCUAUGACAUCCUAGUACAUAUAACCUUAGUGUAUCUACAAAACAACUAUUGACAUACUGAUAAAAAUCUAUUUAGUUCUCAGAUAAGCAAUUCCAGUAGCACUAAAUACCCCUAUGGUAUUUCAUUGUGGUCGUGUUGGUAAGUUUUUAGACUUGUUGCCACAUCACAACCAUUCUUGGGCAUAUGCUAAUCACUCCUUGGACCAGCAUAGUUGAUCAGGCUAUGCCAUUCCCAGGACUGACCAUACAUCCCCAAGCUUACUUGUGAUAUUCAACAAUCGUAAUACUUUUAUUCUUGUCAUUGUGACACUGAUUUUAGUAUUAAUGCAGGCACAUAUACUUAAUUAAAUAUUUUAUUAUUUAAAAGUAUAAACUCUUGGUCAGAGUAUUUUAAUCCCAUUGUAUUAAUAGUUACUAUAUCUUUUAUGGGUUGAUAUACUCAAUUCACUAUAAACAAUGCUCUGAUACCAAUCUGUCACACCCCAAAACCAAGAAUGGCGGAAACGUUCUGGGGUGGAGGACGUCAUGUAUGUAUCACAACAAUGUAAAGUAGUAAACAAGCAACAACAUCAUCCAUUGCAUUAAUAGAAUAAUUCUGCUUACAAGUGUGUUCUUUCAUAGUAUAAAACAACAUAAUGAAUACUCAAAAUAAAAGACGAGUCUUGACUGCUCCGUCUUCUCUAAACCUUGCAUCGGUACCUGUCUAUUUGUAACCUGAGAAUACAAGUUAUUUUGAAAGAGGGUAUCAGCAAUAAAGCUGGUGAAUUCAUAAGUAUUUUAAUGUUAUUGCUUUGAAAAGUUGUUAUGAAAGACUGGUGAAUGUUUGAUGAAACAUUUAGUAUAAGUAUGAAAACCCUAGAAAAUCCCAUAUUUCCUACUAGUAUAAAAAGUAGUCUUCUACCAAGACCCGAAUGUUUUGAAAGUAGUCUUUUACCAAGACCUGACUGUUUUGAAAGUAGUCUUCUACCAAGACCUGAAUGUUUUGAAAGUACGCAUCACUUGUAAAUGUGACGGUUUUUCCCCUGUUUAACUAUUAUUAUAAAACUAUAAAAGUAAUAAUAUAAUAACUUAUGUUGUAUCCUUUGGUACUAAGAUAUUCUAGUAUAAUCUACCUCGUCGGUUAUGUGAACGUGACACAAAAUAAAGGUAACAAUAUAAUUAUAUAGGUAUUAUUCUACCCCGUCGUUAUGUGAAUGUAUCACAAAAUAAAGGUAAUGAGCUAAUAACUUAAGUAUUAUCCUUUGGUACUAAAAUAAACACGGCGUGGAAACUCGUCGUAAAUGGAUCCACCGUAGACAUCCGUAGAUGUGCAUUUACCUCUGUUGCUAACAACCGGGUGUAGGAAUAGUUAGUCCCUUAAGUAUACCUGUUAUGGUAUCAACUGUAGACAUCCGUAGAUGUGCAUUUACC
This 15099-nucleotide long non-coding RNA is filed under the name Lactuca sativa (garden lettuce). RNAcentral describes it as "long non-coding RNA (LSAT_LNC001214)". Lineage: Eukaryota; Viridiplantae; Streptophyta; Magnoliopsida; Asterales; Asteraceae. The record is from RNAcentral.